Molecule: ribosomal RNA, 274 nt
Filed under: uncultured bacterium
Lineage: Bacteria
Description: partial 16S ribosomal RNA
Rfam family: Bacterial small subunit ribosomal RNA
Source: RNAcentral
UACUUGUGGCGUUUUAGUGGCGGACGGGUGAGUAACGCGUGGGCAACCUGCCCUGUACCGGGGGAUAACACUUAGAAAUAGGUGCUAAUACCGCAUAAUAGGGAAUACCGCAUGGUAAUCCUUUGAAAACUCCGGUGGUACAGGAUGGGCCCGCGUCUGAUUAGCCAGUUGGCGGGGUAACGGCCCACCAAAGCGACGAUCAGCAGCCGGCCUGAGAGGGUGGACGGCCACACUGGGACUGAGACACGGCCCAGACUCCUACGGGAGGCAGCAG